AGUUGAUUAGCUUAAGAAAGCAUGUAUUUUGAAAGUACAAGAAAAAGGUUUAAAUCCUUUAUUAACUU
This 68-nucleotide transfer RNA is filed under the name Coreidae sp. EMHAU-2015-Zz052308. RNAcentral describes it as "tRNA-Ser". It matches the Rfam family "tRNA". From Rfam's summary of the family: Transfer RNA (tRNA) molecules are approximately 80 nucleotides in length. Their secondary structure includes four short double-helical elements and three loops (D, anti-codon, and T loops). The record is from RNAcentral. Lineage: Eukaryota; Metazoa; Arthropoda; Insecta; Hemiptera; Coreidae. RNAcentral also lists the same sequence under 1 other name.